AAUAGUACGUGAAACCGCUUAGAGGUUAAGCCCGAUGAACCUGAAUAUCCGUUUUUAUGGGAAAAGUCAUUCACUAUGCCAGUAAUAUAUUUGUUAAUAUUACUAGUAAUGGUGUGCAUUUUUUCCCAUUAUAGGACAUUGUAAUCUAUUGACAUACUGAUAUUAUUUAUCAAAAGAUCAUAUUAACGCAAGUUUAUUCAGAUUAAAUUUGCUUUGGCAAAUUAAGAUGGAUAAAGGCUUAUGAUUUGAUAAAGUGUUGAUAGAUUGAAUUCGUAUAUAGCGCUAAAAUAAUAAUUUAUUUUAUUAUUUUGGGUGGAUUCUAAAAGUAUCGAUUAUUUUGGAUCCACUUAUGCGUUUAUAUGAUUUUCAAUGCGAAAGAUUCAGGAUACCUUCGGGACCCGUCU
This 404-nucleotide ribosomal RNA is filed under the name Przhevalskiana silenus (goat warble fly). RNAcentral describes it as "eukaryotic LSU rRNA". Lineage: Eukaryota; Metazoa; Arthropoda; Insecta; Diptera; Oestridae. The record is from RNAcentral.